GCCGGGAUGGCGGAAUCGGCAGACGCGGCGGUCUCAAAAACCGCUGAGGGCAACCUCGUGCGGGUUCGACUCCCGCUCUCGGCACCA
This 87-nucleotide transfer RNA is filed under the name Candidatus Dormiibacterota bacterium. Its description in RNAcentral is "candidate division AD3 bacterium tRNA-Leu". It matches the Rfam family "tRNA". From Rfam's summary of the family: Transfer RNA (tRNA) molecules are approximately 80 nucleotides in length. Lineage: Bacteria; Bacillati; Candidatus Dormiibacterota. RNAcentral also lists the same sequence under 1 other name. The record is from RNAcentral.